AUUGACUUCUUCGGAAUGAUUUUGAUUAAGUUUAGUGGCGGACGGGUGAGUAACGCGUGAGUAACCUGCCUCUGAGAGGGGAAUAACAUUCUGAAAAGAAUGCUAAUACCGCAUAACAUAUAUUUAUCGCAUGGUAGAUAUAUCAAAGAUUUAUCGCUUAGAGAUGGACUCGCGUCCGAUUAGUUAGUUGGUGAGGUAACGGCUCACCAAGACCGCGAUCGGUAGCCGGACUGAGAGGUUGAACGGCCACAUUGGGACUGAGACACGGCCCAGACUCCUACGGGAGGCAGCAGUGGGGGAUAUUGCGCAAUGGGGGAAACCCUGACGCAGCAACGCCGCGUGAAGGAUGAAGGUCUUCGGAUUGUAAACUUCUUUUAUUAAGGACGAAGAAGGUGACGGUACUUAAUGAAUAAGCUCCGGCUAACUACGUGCCAGCAGCCGCGGUAAUACGUAGGGAGCAAGCGUUGUCCGGAUUUACUGGGUGUAAAGGGUGCGUAGGCGGCUUUGCAAGUCAGAUGUGAAAUCUAUGGGCUCAACCCAUAGCCUGCAUUUGAAACUGCAGAGCUUGAGUGAAGUAGAGGCAGGCGGAAUUCCCCGUGUAGCGGUGAAAUGCGUAGAGAUGGGGAGGAACACCAGUGGCGAAGGCGGCCUGCUGGGCUUUAACUGACGCUGAGGCACGAAAGCGUGGGUAGCAAA
This 696-nucleotide ribosomal RNA is filed under the name uncultured bacterium. Its description in RNAcentral is "bacterial SSU rRNA". It matches the Rfam family "Bacterial small subunit ribosomal RNA", at positions 66 to 772 of the family's 1533-position model. The record is from RNAcentral.